RNAcentral lists this ribosomal RNA (488 nucleotides) under uncultured bacterium. Its description in RNAcentral is "bacterial SSU rRNA". It matches the Rfam family "Bacterial small subunit ribosomal RNA", at positions 28 to 507 of the family's 1533-position model. The record is from RNAcentral.
GACGAACGCUGGCGGCGUGGAUUAGGCAUGCAAGUCGAACGGUAGGAUACCUUCGGGUAUCUGAGAGUGGCGAACGGGUGAGUAACACGUAGGUGAUCUACCCUCAAGAUUGGGACAACCCAGGGAAACUUGGGCUAAUACCGGAUGAAAGCAGCAGUGAUGUUGUUUGAAAGGUGGCGUAAGCUGCCGUUUGGGGGUGAGCCUGCGCUCUAUUAGUUAGUUGGCGGGGUAAAGGCCCACCAAGGCGAUGAUAGAUAGGCGGCCUUAACGGGUGGUCGCCCACACUGGGAUUGAGAUACGGCCCAGACUCCUACGGGAGGCAGCAGUCGAGAAUAGUCUACAAUGGCCGAAAGGCUGAUAGUGCGACGCCGCGUGAACGAAGAAGCCCUUCGGGGUGUAAAGUUCUUUUAUAUGUGAGCAGUGCUUUCUAUGUGAACAGCAUGGGGAGAGAGAUAUUAGCAUAUGAAUAAGCAACGGCUAACUCCGUG